Molecule: long non-coding RNA, 1014 nt
Organism: Hyaena hyaena (striped hyena)
Lineage: Eukaryota; Metazoa; Chordata; Mammalia; Carnivora; Hyaenidae
Exons: 5
Source: RefSeq, a predicted model, not a curated record
CGCUACAAUGAGGGGGCCCCCGAGGCAUUCACCGUGGGCUUUUCCACCCGCCUGCGGGCUGGAACCACCUCCGGUUUCCUCUCAGUGCCGGGCGUGGAGAGGGCCGGGCCUGCGAGGCAGACGCCGGGCCUGAAGGCUGGCGAGCUGCGAGCUGGAACGAGAAGGGCGAGGCGGUGGCGCGAAGCUUCGAGGCGGGCUAGGGGUUUCCCCAGGACUGCCUCCGGCUUUGAGAGGCGGGAUCCCGCCAGGACGGGGUCCCUAAGGGAGGAGAACGGCACACGACGACCCAGAUUCCUCUCCUGCCGGGCAGGACUUUUCCUGGCGGGUCGCCCCCUUUCCGAAAUCCCCCAAAGCGUACCCAAUACACACCCUCGGCGACCGAGCCACCUCCUGCCACCUCCUGCCGCGGGGAAGCCCGAGUGAAAGCGGGAACACAUCCUAGAAGAGUAACAAGUGGUUUUCUAGCAUUUAGAGCCAGGAACGUGGUGAGAUGCCCUCCCUCUCGAAGGCACCCCUUCCCCCGUGGGGGUCCACGCAAUUAUCGAAGGCUGUCCUGUGAGGAGGCACUUUCAAGAUCCUUGAGACCACACCCAUUAAAAGACUAGACCAAUGUCUUUAUGGAACAUCAUGUAUUCGUUUGGAGAAAAUGAAAGUACAGGUUACUCUGAGUCUAUGCCCAGGUUACUGUGGAUACUAUGGUGAAAGAGACAUUGUCCCUGUCUCGGAGAAACGCAUCUUCUGGUAGAGAUACCAGAGGAUGGAGAAGUGAUAAGAAUGCAAUAUGGUGAAUGCAGUAAUUAAGACUGAGCUCACGGAUUUUUGGAAAUGACAUCACAGAGGAGAAGUGCCCUUUUCAUGACAUCAUAUCAGAGUCUGACAUCCUUGAGUGUUGAAGGUUGAUCCUCGGAUAGUCAUCUCCUCGUAACAGAAUUGCUGCUACAGCUCCAAGAUCACAUCUUCAUGGAAUAGCAUUGAACCCCCAUCUCUGUUUUUAUCAGAAAUAAAAAUUAUUUG